CCUACGGGCGGCAGCAGUGGGGAAUAUUGGACAAUGGGCGAAAGCCUGAUCCAGCCAUGCCGCGUGUGUGAAGAAGGCCUUCGGGUUGUAAAGCACUUUCAGUGGGGAAGAAAGCCUUGGGGCUAAUACCCUCGAGGAAGGACAUCACCCACAGAAGAAGCACCGGCUAACUCCGUGCCAGCAGCCGCGGUAAUACGGAGGGUGCGAGCGUUAAUCGGAAUUACUGGGCGUAAAGCGCGCGUAGGCGGUCUGAUAAGCCGGUUGUGAAAGCCCCGGGCUCAACCUGGGAACGGCAUCCGGGACUGUCAGGCUAGAGUGCAGGAGAGGAAGGUAGAAUUCCCGGUGUAGCAGUGAAAUGCGUAGAGAUCGGGAGGAAUACCAGUGGCGAAGGCGGCCUUCUGGACUGACACUGACGCUGAGGUGCGAAAGCGUGGGUAGCAAACAGGAUUAGAUACCCUAGUAGUC
This 465-nucleotide ribosomal RNA is filed under the name Vreelandella stevensii. RNAcentral's name for it is "partial 16S ribosomal RNA". It matches the Rfam family "Bacterial small subunit ribosomal RNA", at positions 338 to 795 of the family's 1533-position model. Lineage: Bacteria; Pseudomonadati; Pseudomonadota; Gammaproteobacteria; Oceanospirillales; Halomonadaceae. The record is from RNAcentral.